This is a long non-coding RNA of Elgaria multicarinata webbii, 550 nucleotides long. RefSeq lists it as uncharacterized. Lineage: Eukaryota; Metazoa; Chordata; Lepidosauria; Squamata; Anguidae. The transcript is spliced from 3 exons. The record is from RefSeq and is a predicted model, not a curated record.
GCUUUAACUGUUGUGAUGAAGAGGGAAUUUCACCAGCUUCUCCAUAUAUACAAAUGACACCUGCUGAAAUUCCCUUUUCUAUGCAACUAUUAAAGAUGCAGGAGCCUUGUCCUCCUUUUCAUAUGGUCACCCUACUCAACACUCCUGCGAAAGAGGCGGAAAAACAACGCCCUCUUUUGCAGGCAAGCCGAGAGGUUGCGAAAAGGAAUUGAUGAAUAGGAUAUCCACAAGAUACCCUCUGGCGGCAUUUGGCAAAUUAAAAAGGAAGUGAGGCAGGUGGCUACCAGGAGGAGGGCUUUCUCUGCUGUGGCACCCUGGUUGUGGAACGAUCUCCCCAGAGAGGUUCGCUUGGCACCUACAUUGUUUUCCUUUCGUCGCCAGCUGAAGACCUUUUUAUUUUCUCAGUAUUUUAACAACUAAUUUAACUUAAAUUUAAACUUUGCUGUUUUAAUCUCAUAUUUUAACCUAUAUUAAUUUUUGCUGUGUCGUUUUAUUCUGGUUGUGCUUUUUAUAUUAUAUUUCGUAUGUGUGUUUUAAAUUUGUUGGUUGU